This 253-nucleotide ribosomal RNA is filed under the name uncultured bacterium. RNAcentral describes it as "partial 16S ribosomal RNA". It matches the Rfam family "Bacterial small subunit ribosomal RNA", at positions 524 to 776 of the family's 1533-position model. The record is from RNAcentral.
UACGUAGGGGGCAAGCGUUGUUCGGAAUUACUGGGCGUAAAGGGCGCGUAGGCGGCAUGGCAAGUCAGGAGUGAAAGCCCGGGGCUCAACCCCGGAACGUCUUUUGAAACUGCCAAGCUAGAGUGCGGAAGAGGCAACUGGAAUUCCCAGUGUAGCGGUGAAAUGCGCAGAUAUCAGGAAGAACACCCGUGGCGAAGGCGGCUCUCUGGGACGGUACUGACGCUGAGACACGAAAGCGUGGGGAGCGAACAGG